AUAAAUUAUUUACCAUUUUUAUUUUUCAAAGGAAAAUGGUGGAUAAUUCACCAUUUUUUUCUUUUAUUUUUCUCAUACAAUCCUAAUAAUCGCAUAAAAAAUCAUAACAGCCAACAAAUAAUUCUAUCGAACUCCUAAAAAUUCUAAGAACUUGCAAUACAAACAUAAGAAUUAAAUAAAAAUUCAACAAUCUAAAUCGCUUCUAACAAUUCCAUAAAAAUCUCACAAAUAAUAGUAAUAAUUUAAAAUUUUCUAGAAACGGUGAAUAAUUUAUCGUUCUUAAAGUCUGAUUAAAUAUGAUGAAUGAUUCACUCGUCUUUCACUUCUCUUUCCACUAUGAAAUUAA
RNAcentral lists this long non-coding RNA (346 nucleotides) under Ananas comosus (pineapple). RNAcentral describes it as "long non-coding RNA (ACOM_LNC011838)". Lineage: Eukaryota; Viridiplantae; Streptophyta; Magnoliopsida; Poales; Bromeliaceae. The record is from RNAcentral.